Molecule: transfer RNA, 72 nt
Filed under: Parapercis tetracantha
Lineage: Eukaryota; Metazoa; Chordata; Actinopteri; Uranoscopiformes; Pinguipedidae
Description: tRNA-Val
Rfam family: tRNA
About the family: Transfer RNA (tRNA) molecules are approximately 80 nucleotides in length. Their secondary structure includes four short double-helical elements and three loops (D, anti-codon, and T loops).
Source: RNAcentral
UGGGGCAUAGCUUAAAAGCAAAGCAACUCCCUCACAUUGAGUAGACUGUCCGUUCAAACCGGGCUGCCCUAA